This 796-nucleotide long non-coding RNA is filed under the name Zea mays. RNAcentral describes it as "long non-coding RNA (ZMAY_LNC003700)". The record is from RNAcentral. Lineage: Eukaryota; Viridiplantae; Streptophyta; Magnoliopsida; Poales; Poaceae.
CACAAGCUUAUAUAAACGGAGACCUCGCACCUAUUUGUGGCCUCCUCGGGUGAAAUCAUCGAUCGGUGUGCCACCAAUUGCUCAUCGCAGUUCAUCGCCACCGCGGAAUCCGCCGUGCGCCAUGGCCGCCUAACCCUUUGCCAUAGGAGCCCAUGGUAAGCAUUCCAACCAGUUCGGCUCAUCAGUAUACGCAAAUUUGACCCCUCUACACUCAGGUUGUCCCAUCGGGCGCCGGAUCGACCGACUCCGGCUGGCUGUCGUCGUGUGAUGCGAACGCGCCGCCACGGCUGGGAGCGAUGUGGGGAAGAAGCAUCGUCGACCGUUGAUCUCGGAGCGGACGCUCUAGAUUAGAAGAGAGGGGAGUCCCUUUGAUGAAGGGAUCUGAGCCAUGUAUGUGGGAUCGGGCGGUUUAGGUUAGGUCACACAUACCCCCUUCGCUCGGUUGAUAGCAACCGUAUGAUUUUAAUCUGAGGGCCAGCGGCGAAUCGUGUGGGUUUAAAAUCGACGUCGUCGGAUCGAGAUCCGGGGGUCCUGGUCGCGUACCGGUUCGCUUUAAAUAAAAUCGAAUCCUGGCACUUGUUUUCUAAUCGGACGGCUCUAGUGACCCGAUACCCCUUCGGUCGCGUCUUUUUGCUAAAGAGUCCUCGGUUUCUUAAACAAUCAACCCGCCAUCCUACUGAAUGCAAAAGUAAUUACAUAUCAGUCCAUUUUCUUUUAGGUAGCACCUAGACUUUCCUGAAAAUAUUAGUCGCCGUCCAUUGGUGUCAUUUAAUUGUAAAAUUAAAUCAGGAAACUG